RNAcentral lists this ribosomal RNA (468 nucleotides) under uncultured bacterium. RNAcentral's name for it is "partial 16S ribosomal RNA". It matches the Rfam family "Bacterial small subunit ribosomal RNA", at positions 28 to 507 of the family's 1533-position model. The record is from RNAcentral.
GACGAACGCUGGCGGCGUGCUUAACACAUGCAAGUCGAACGGUGAUGCUCCAGCUUGCUGGAGUGGAUCAGUGGCGAACGGGUGAGUAACACGUGAGCAACCUGCCCCAGACUCUGGAAUAAGCGCUGGAAUCGGCGUCUAAUACUGGAUACGAAACUGGCCCGCAUGGGCAUGGUUUGGAAAGUUUUUCGGUUUGGGAUGGGCUCGCGGCCUAUCAGCUUGUUGGUGAGGUAAUGGCUCACCAAGGCGACGACGGGUAGCCGGCCUGAGAGGGCGACCGGCCACACUGGGACUGAGACACGGCCCAGACUCCUACGGGAGGCAGCAGUGGGGAAUAUUGCACAAUGGGCGAAAGCCUGAUGCAGCGACGCCGCGUGAGGGAUGACGGCCUUCGGGUUGUAAACCUCUUUCAGCAGGGAAGAAGCGAAAGUGACGGUACCUGCAGAAGAAGCACCGGCUAACUACGUG